AACGACUCUCGGCAACGGAUAUCUCGGCUCUCGCAUCGAUGAAGAACGUAGCGAAAUGCGAUACUUGGUGUGAAUUGCAGAAUCCCGUGAACCAUCGAGUCUUUGAACGCAAGUUGCGCCCGAAGCCACCAGGUUGAGGGCACGUC
RNAcentral lists this ribosomal RNA (146 nucleotides) under Cyrtandra pendula. RNAcentral's name for it is "5.8S ribosomal RNA". It matches the Rfam family "5.8S ribosomal RNA". From Rfam's summary of the family: 5.8S ribosomal RNA (5.8S rRNA) is a component of the large subunit of the eukaryotic ribosome. It is transcribed by RNA polymerase I as part of the 45S precursor that also contains 18S and 28S rRNA. Functionally, it is thought that 5.8S rRNA may be involved in ribosome translocation. The record is from RNAcentral. RNAcentral also lists the same sequence under 5 other names. Lineage: Eukaryota; Viridiplantae; Streptophyta; Magnoliopsida; Lamiales; Gesneriaceae.